This 69-nucleotide non-coding RNA is filed under the name Candidatus Mediterraneibacter intestinipullorum. The record is from RNAcentral. Lineage: Bacteria; Bacillati; Bacillota; Clostridia; Lachnospirales; Lachnospiraceae.
AGCCGAAACGGGGGCAAGCUCCCCGUCCUCCGCGGGAUCGCCUCCCGGAGCUGAUGAUGGCAGGCGGAA